GCUUGACAUGAAAAGUUGCAGUAUCUGUGUGAUAUAAAUAUGGAAGAAGGAUUUUGCACAUGGUUCAUACCCCCUAUGUUGAAGGAUCCCUUCAUUGGAGGAGGCUGCAUUGUUGACAGCAGUAAAAGAUUUGGAAGAAGGAGAACAUGGAAUGUUCUGCUGGGUGACACUUGCUGUGCUUGAUACCUAAUUCUCCCCAAGCCAUAUUUCAUGAGGCCCACAAACUGCAGCCAAGGAGAAAUUUAUUCAAACAUGCAUACCAAGAUCAGAAGUGAAAUUGACAGGUUCUUUUGUUUGCAUAAGAUUUGCAUGAUACAGGAAUUAACUGCCUGCAUUGUUAAUUGAAGAGGACUUGGCCAUGGGGAGACUGAGAAAGAUGCAUGAGUAUUUGACAACCACCAACCUCUAAGCCUCAAACACCAUGCACCAAGAGAAGGAGAACAAUUAUUGUGACAUUUAAUCUAAUGUCUACAUCCUAAUUUAUAAUUAUAAUACACAAUAGCCAAAAAAAAUUGAAUUCUCUCUCUCUCUCUCUCUCUCUCUCUCUCUCUCUCUCUCUCUCUUAACAAGUCUAACAUGUUUUUAUUAUGAAA
This is a long non-coding RNA of Magallana angulata, 593 nucleotides long. RefSeq lists it as uncharacterized. The record is from RefSeq and is a predicted model, not a curated record. The transcript has 3 exons. NCBI's taxonomy places the organism in Eukaryota, Metazoa, Mollusca, Bivalvia, Ostreida, Ostreidae.